GAUGAACGCUAGCGGCAGGCUUAAUACAUGCAAGUCGAGGGGCAGCGCGGGUAGCAAUACCUGGCGGCGACCGGCAAACGGGUGCGGAACACGUACGCAACCUUCCCAAAACUGGGGAAUAGCCCUCCGAAAGGAGGAUUAAUACCCCGUAACAUAACGAAGUGGCAUCACUUUGUUAUUAUAGUUCCGACGGUUUUGGAUGGGCGUGCGCCUGAUUAGGUAGUUGGCGGGGUAACGGCCCACCAAGCCUACGAUCAGUAACUGGUGUGAGAGCACGACCAGUCACACGGGCACUGAGACACGGGCCCGACUCCUACGGGAGGCAGCAGUAAGGAAUAUUGGUCAAUGGACGCAAGUCUGAACCAGCCAUGCCGCGUGAAGGAUGAAGGUCCUCUGGAUUGUAAACUUCUUUUAUAUGGGACGAAAAAAGGGCAUUCUUGCUCACUUGACGGUACCAUAGGAAUAAGCACCGGCUAACUCCGUGCCAGCAGCCGCGGUAAU
RNAcentral lists this ribosomal RNA (501 nucleotides) under uncultured bacterium. RNAcentral's name for it is "bacterial SSU rRNA". It matches the Rfam family "Bacterial small subunit ribosomal RNA", at positions 28 to 524 of the family's 1533-position model. The record is from RNAcentral.